RNAcentral lists this ribosomal RNA (493 nucleotides) under uncultured bacterium. RNAcentral describes it as "bacterial SSU rRNA". It matches the Rfam family "Bacterial small subunit ribosomal RNA", at positions 30 to 518 of the family's 1533-position model. The record is from RNAcentral.
AUUGAACGCUGGCGGCAUGCCUUACACAUGCAAGUCGAACGGUAACAGGUCUUCGGAUGCUGACGAGUGGCGAACGGGUGAGUAAUACAUCGGAACGUGCCCGAUCGUGGGGGAUAACGAAGCGAAAGCUUUGCUAAUACCGCAUACGAUCUACGGAUGAAAGCAGGGGACCGCAAGGCCUUGCGCGAACGGAGUGGCCGAUGGCAGAUUAGGUAGUUGGUGGGAUAAAAGCUUACCAAGCCGACGAUCUGUAGCUGGUCUGAGAGGACGACCAGCCACACUGGGACUGAGACACGGCCCAGACUCCUACGGGAGGCAGCAGUGGGGAAUUUUGGACAAUGGGCGAAAGCCUGAUCCAGCCAUGCCGCGUGCAGGAUGAAGGCCUUCGGGUUGUAAACUGCUUUUGUACGGAACGAAAAGACUCUGGUUAAUACCUGGGGUCCAUGACGGUACCGUAAGAAUAAGCACCGGCUAACUACGUGCCAGCAGCCGC